CAGUCGCCGCGGGAAUACGAAGGGGGCUAGCGUUGUUCGGAUUUACUGGGCGUAAAGGGCGCGUAGGCGGACUGAUAAGUCAGGGGUGAAAUCCCAAGGCCCAACCUUGGAACUGCCUUUGAUACUGUUUGUCUUGAGUUCGAGAGAGGUAAGUGGAACUGCGAGUGUAGAGGUGAAAUUCGUAGAUAUUCGCAAGAACACCAGUGGCGAAGGCGGCUUACUGGCUCGAAACUGACGCUGAGGCGCGAAAGCGUGGGGAGCAAACAGGAUUAGAUACCCCUGUAGUCCCUGUCUCUUAUAC
RNAcentral lists this ribosomal RNA (301 nucleotides) under uncultured bacterium. Its description in RNAcentral is "partial 16S ribosomal RNA". It matches the Rfam family "Bacterial small subunit ribosomal RNA", at positions 509 to 807 of the family's 1533-position model. The record is from RNAcentral.